This 85-nucleotide non-coding RNA is filed under the name Hominimerdicola alba. The record is from RNAcentral. Lineage: Bacteria; Bacillati; Bacillota; Clostridia; Eubacteriales; Oscillospiraceae.
GAGCGCCGUAUGACGGGAAACUGUCACGUACGGUGUGGGACAGGGGAAAACUUGGAGAUAACAUCAAAGGGUUACCUAUUGUCAU